GCUGGGCAUCGUGGUGCAUGCCUAUAAUCCCAGCGACUCUGGAGGCUGAGGCAGGAGGAUAGCAAAUUCAAAGCCAGCCUCAGCAAUUUAUUGAGGCCCUAGGACCUUAGUGAGACCCUGUUUCAA
This 126-nucleotide small RNA is filed under the name Marmota monax (woodchuck). The record is from RNAcentral. Lineage: Eukaryota; Metazoa; Chordata; Mammalia; Rodentia; Sciuridae.